AUGCCACGGUGGGUGCAUGAGCAAGUCAGCUACACCUGUGAGAGCACCAAGCAUGCUAUGGAUGCUCUGUUUGAGCACAACCUUUUGCAGAAGUUUUCUCUGAAGGUGCUUGCAAUGAGAGGUCCUCACCCUGCUCCCUGCACAAGAGGCACUGGGGCUGCUGAGCACCCCUGCACCCCUGAGGCAGCUCCAUCAAUGCAGCCAACAUCACAAAGUGCACAAAGAGACAUGCCUUGCGUGGGGGAAGAGGGGCACUGGGAAGAGGCUGUGUUGGGAAGGACCUGCCUAGAAGAUGAAGGUGCUUUCUAUGCCACCUGGCUUAUUUGAGGGCAGUAAUUAGUGGCCAACGGGUGUGUAGACCUGGAAUAUCUGUGUACAAACUACAGUCAACAGAGAAACGAGAAUGCAAAAGAAUUGCCAAAAUGACGAGAUCCUGGAUAUCCCGCAUUCUCAAGUUUGGCGCAGAUUUGUCUGCUCUAAAUGUGUCUUGGACUGAGUGCCGGAGUGUUUUAAGCAUCCAGUGCAUGGCCAGCUGUAAACUGCUGCUUUCAGAUCACAGGGCUGCCAUCCAUGAACAAUUCUCUUCUGGCAAUAUGACAUAAACCUACUUCUCUGACAGUCUAAUUCUUACUGCUCAUUGUGGAAGAGAACAGCAUGAAAAUAGUACACACCUGAAUACAAAAGAGGCAAGCCUUCCUGUGUUCAAAAACAGAAUGAGAUUGUAUUAAAAAAAAAAAAAAAAAGUAGAUUAAAAUGGACUGUUGAGAAAGGAAAGACACAAGGGAAAACAAUGGUUCGGUCAAUGCUGUGGGAUGAAGUAGGGGUCUCCACCACCAAAAAUGAAGAUGCUCCUCAGGCUGAACUGCACAGGGUGGCACAACAAGCAUAAGAUGUCUGUCUGUUCUUAGAGAACACAACAAGACAUCUGGACCAUCUACACCUACAGAUCGCUACAUCCUUGAGUAAAAGGUAAUUAAAUUUGCAACGGAUACCAGAAAAUUAUGACAAGCACUUUCAUGGCAUGUAACUGAGGUUAGGAUGAGCAGUGGGUUUGAGGCUGAGCUGGAACAGGAGAAGAUUAUGAACAACUGAUGUGCAGAGAUUUUUAUUAAUAUGAGGAAGGAAAGUUUGAAAUGAAUGCCUUUCAUGAAAAGCAAAAUCAUUAAUUACUAACAUUAGCUAUUUCUAUAUAUACAUGCAUGUCAUUAAAGCUUGCAUUUUGUAUAGGAGUAGCUCUUUUCUCCAUAAUUUAUACUGCUCGGUGACACUGUAUACUUUGGUUUUGUUUUUCUUUUGUCUUUCAUUGAUAAAGGAGUUUGAGCUGGAGGAAGGAAAAGCACGAGACUCAUUCCAGAAUACAUUUGCCAGUCAUCCUUGCAGUGUUGAUUUAAAUUUGUAACCUAAAGCUAGUAGCAUUAGGACAUAAUUAGAUCUGAAAGAUUUAAAAAGUAAAAGAUUGAAUUAGGAACACUGACGAGAUCAGGAACAAAAUGUCUGUUCUGGAGACAGUCUGGACUGUUUUUUCUACCAAGUGCACCUUCAAUUUUAUAGUGAUUGCAAACCAUAAUAAAGUGCCUGAAACACAGAUAAAAGGUCA
RNAcentral lists this long non-coding RNA (1597 nucleotides) under Anser cygnoides (Swan goose). Its description in RNAcentral is "lncRNA (ENSACDG00005009337.1)". Lineage: Eukaryota; Metazoa; Chordata; Aves; Anseriformes; Anatidae. The record is from RNAcentral.